This 440-nucleotide ribosomal RNA is filed under the name uncultured bacterium. RNAcentral's name for it is "partial 16S ribosomal RNA". It matches the Rfam family "Bacterial small subunit ribosomal RNA", at positions 338 to 795 of the family's 1533-position model. The record is from RNAcentral.
CCUACGGGAGGCAGCAGUGGGGGAUAUUGCACAAUGGGGGGAACCCUGAUGCAGCGACGCCGCGUGGGUGAAGACGCGCCUCGGCGCGUAAAGCCCUGUCAGCAGGGGAGAAACUGACGGUACCUGAAGGAGAAGCCCCGGCUAACUACGUGCCAGCCGCCGCGGUAAUACGGAGGGGGCAAGCGUUAUCCGGAUUUACUGGGUGUAAUGGGGGCGCAGACGGCGAUGCAAGCCAGGAGUGAAAGCCCGGGGCCCAACCCCGGGACUGCUCGUGGAACUGCGUGGCUGGAGUGCAGGAGGGGCAGGCGGAAUUCGUGGUGUAGCGGUGAAAUGCUUAGAUAUCAGGAGGAACACCGGUGGCGAAGGCGGCCUGCUGGACUGCAACUGACGUUGAGGCCCGAAAGCGUGGGGAGCAAACAGGAUUAGAUACCCGAGUAGUC